This 497-nucleotide ribosomal RNA is filed under the name uncultured bacterium. RNAcentral describes it as "partial 16S ribosomal RNA". It matches the Rfam family "Bacterial small subunit ribosomal RNA", at positions 28 to 507 of the family's 1533-position model. The record is from RNAcentral.
GAUGAACGCUGGCGGCGUGCCUAAUACAUGCAAGUCGAGCGAACAGACGAGGAGCUUGCUCCUCUGACGUUAGCGGCGGACGGGUGAGUAACACGUGGAUAACCUCCCUAUAAUACUGGGAUAACUUCGGGAAACCGGAGCUAAUACCGGAUAAUAUAUUGAACCGCAUGGUUCAAUAGUGAAAGACGGUUUUGCUGUCACUUAUAGAUGGAUCCGCGCCGGAUUAGCUAGUUGGUAAGGUAACGGCUUACCAAGGCAACGAUGCGUAGCCGACCUGAGAGGGUGAUCGGCCACACUGGAACUGAGACACGGUCCAGACUCCUACGGGAGGCAGCAGUAGGGAAUCGUCCGCAAUGGGCGAAAGCCUGACGGAGCAACGCCGCGUGAGUGAUGAAGGUCUUCGGAUCGUAAAACUCUGUUAUUAGGGAAGAACAAAUGUGUAAGUAACUAUGCACGUCUUGACGGUACCUAAUCAGAAAGCCACGGCUAACUACGUG